This 246-nucleotide non-coding RNA is filed under the name Clostridium sp. RNAcentral describes it as "T-box sequence". It matches the Rfam family "T-box leader". Rfam says of the family: Uncharged tRNA acts as the effector for transcription antitermination of genes in the T-box leader family. T-boxes are found upstream of many aminoacyl-tRNA synthetase genes and some amino acid biosynthetic genes usually in Gram-positive bacteria. Lineage: Bacteria; Bacillati; Bacillota; Clostridia; Eubacteriales; Clostridiaceae. The record is from RNAcentral.
AUGAAACCAGUGAUUGAGAGAAGUAGCGAAAGACAGAUGAAUUUCAGAGAGUCGCAAAAUGGUGUGAUUGCGGCAAACAGGUUUUUAGUGAAUGGACUCAUAAGGGCGGGAAGAACAGCAGAUGCUUAGUAAUACCCGACGGUGUAUCGAACCGUUAUAUUCGAUUGUGUAUGUCAGUACAUUAUGAGUGGAUGCAGUUGCAUCAAAAAAGGUGGUACCGCGAGUGAAUAUUUACCCGUCCUUAAU